Non-coding RNA from Paramuricea clavata, 259 nucleotides. Lineage: Eukaryota; Metazoa; Cnidaria; Anthozoa; Malacalcyonacea; Plexauridae. The record is from the annotation of a GenBank genome assembly.
AAAACACAUUGACGUAUUAAUUAACACAUGAUAACAUGUCGCAGUUCGAUCAUUAGAUCUGUGCGUGAUGAUCACAUUUUAAAUUUCCGGGUGUUCGGCUACAAUACCAAAAUGGUGUAAUCGCUGCGGCUCUGCAGACAUCGACCUACACACGUAAAAACGCACAAGUUUUAACAAACCUGCAGCAGACUUGUAGCAAUCCUGUUCCAACAACUUGUCAACAGGAUGUGUUCGCACUGCUUGUCCCCAGCUUGUUGAC